Panicum virgatum (switchgrass) is the source of this 2281-nucleotide RNA transcript. It is a transcript of the gene named probable magnesium transporter NIPA4, with no coding region annotated. The transcript has 10 exons. Lineage: Eukaryota; Viridiplantae; Streptophyta; Magnoliopsida; Poales; Poaceae. The record is from RefSeq and is a predicted model, not a curated record.
AUGGCGGCGCCGGCGGCCGGGCGCGGCGGCGGGGCCAUGUCGUCGGACAACGCCAAGGGCCUGGUCCUCGCGGUGUCGUCCAGCGCCUUCAUCGGGGCCAGCUUCAUCGUCAAGAAGAUGGGGCUCAGGAGGGCGGCCGACUCCGGCGUCCGCGCCGGAUAUGGAGGAUUUUCUUACUUAGUGGAGCCUCUUUGGUGGAUAGGCAUGAUUUCUAUGAUUGUAGGUGAAAUUGCUAAUUUUGCUGCUUACGCAUUCGCUCCUGCUAUUCUUGUCACUCCUCUUGGCGCACUCAGUAUAAUCAUCAGUGCUGCACUUGCACAUGCCAUUCUACAGGAGAAACUGCACAUAUUUGGUAUACUUGGUUGUGUUCUCUGUGUUGUUGGGUCCAUCACAAUUGUACUCCAUGCUCCACAGGAGCGUGACAUUAAUUCUGUAAAGGAAGUUUGGGAUCUUGCGACUGAACCAGCUUUCCUUUGCUAUGCAGCUAUAGUAGUUGCAGCAGCCUUAGUGCUUAUAUACUUUGUUGUCCCUCAUCAUGGUCAAACAAACAUAAUGGUGUACAUUGGAGUUUGUUCUCUUCUGGGAUCACUCACAGUUAUGAGUGUAAGAGCUCUUGGAAUUGCAUUGAAGCUAACAUUCUCAGGAACAAACCAACUAUUCUAUCCUCAGACUUGGGCUUUUGCACUAAUUGUGGCCACGUGUGUGAGCACUCAGAUUAACUAUCUAAACAAGGCGCUGGACACCUUUAAUACAGCAGUAGUCUCACCAAUAUAUUACGUGAUGUUUACAUCACUAACAAUUAUAGCCAGUGUGAUAAUGUUCAAGGAUUGGGACCAUCAAAAUCCAACACAAAUUGUUACAGAGAUGUGUGGUUUCCUGACUAUCCUUUCUGGGACAUUUCUUCUUCACAAGACCAAGGACAUGGCUGACAGUCCUGGACAAUCUUUCUCCACAGAACGGCUAAAGCAUGCUAGUCAGAAUGGGUUUGCCAUUGAAGUCAUGCCACUAAAAUGUCAAGACUCUGUGGAUGAUGAGGCCUUGAUGCUGUCAGUUCCCAAGGCUGACAAUGACUACCUAAAGGAAGAGCAUCCUCUUAGAUAUAAAUACUCGAGUAUUGUCUGAUAGGUAAUUAAUUCUUCGCCAACCUUCGGCAGGAUGUCUUGGAACCUUUUUGCUCACAAUGGUCAGCCAAGAUUAAUUGAUGUAGACCUUGAGUUGGAGGUUUUACCUCAACCUGGCCUUGGAUAGAUUGAGAUCACAGAUUAUAAGUUGUCAACUAUUGCUUGCCUGUUUCUGGAGGAUGUUUUUUUUUUGCUAAGGAGCAAGCCAGAAAGAUGCCAAAUUCAGACCAAAGAAGUGUUAAGUCAUCCAGGAAUACCAGUUCUGGAAAAGAAUUUGAAGUGUAUUUAGCGACAGUGGUGUCGUUCACUAUACUAUUUCUUUUUCUCAUUUUAGGAAGUAGUGAAUUAGCUGCAAUGUGAUCUUAUCUGAUUUCUAGGAAGGUACUAUAUAGAAACGUCAGGCUUCAUUUUCUUUACCUGUAAUUACCUCAUAAAUUGCUGCCUACUUGUCAACGUAUAUACUGAGUCUGUGUAAGUAUCAAUUCAUACUUUAUGAUAAGCGGGCCCUUCUGAUAAACAGGUUGAUGACUCUAAUUUUGAUGUUUCACAUUGCAAAUUUUUUUUUCAUUAUGCCUCAUUGUGCAUUCCUUUUUUUCGUGGUGUUUAAAAAUGCAACUUUUAGGACCAUUAUUGCGAUUUGUGCUGCAUAGUUUAAAAACUGUGAUUCAAGGAGGAUGUUGUGGAUGAAUAAUUUACAGUGUACAUUGAUUGUUUUAAGUGUGUAGCAGUUGCCGUGCUUUGUAAGUUUUCAGGAUAUCUGAUUGCAGAAAGCCAGAAAACAAUGGAAAUGGUUGUUGAAGGGAAGAACAGAGUUGCGCCUCAAAAGUAUUCUUUUACUACUACAUUAUUUGCUCCAAUUAUUUGGUACAUUGAAGGGAGGAUGCGUAGUUAUUAUCUAUUCAAGGGGAGAAAAUGUUCCAAGCUUCAACUCAGUACCCUGCAGGUGCUUCUACAACAAGAGCAGAGUACAAUCCAUCCUGAUCAAAGAUAGGCGGUGCAGAUUAUGCAUGCAUGAUUGAAUGUCUCUUAGAUGUUUUAAGAUUUGAGAGAGGAAGAGAGGAGUGACUCUUUGUUUGAUAUUUUUGCCAUCCAACCUUUGAUUGACGCUGAAGUGGCUUUUAAUCGGAUCUCGUGAAGUAAUACAAAUAUCAAUUCCGGUU